This 645-nucleotide long non-coding RNA is filed under the name Androctonus crassicauda. The record is from RNAcentral. Lineage: Eukaryota; Metazoa; Arthropoda; Arachnida; Scorpiones; Buthidae.
GAUAAUUUGUAAUAUACUCUGUUGCAAAAAAAUAAUGCAUUGCUAAAAAUUAGAGUAAGAACUGUGAAACUCUUUACAAAUGCUUUUUCAGCUAUAUAUAUACAAAUUUCAUUGCUAAUGAACAUACAGGAAGAAAGAACAUGAGAAGAGCAAAUCUGGAAUAUAGGACUAUCCUAUAAGGACUGCCUUUUGUGAGUACAGAUAUAUAGUUUUGCUCUUUCAUUACAUUAAGUAGUCUAUAAGAUGCUUCUAUUUGUCAGCAAGUUUGAGAGGCUGCAUCAUAUGCCUACAACAAACUGUACCAUUUUUUGCAACAGAGUAUUUUCCAAAUUGUAUAUCAAUGAAAAUUUUCACAUAUCUCUAAGAAAAAUUAAAUGGAGAAUGCCUAAAACAACAACUAGAUGUGUAUAUUAUUUUGCAUAUUUUAGAUAUUUUUUAUUUGAUGAUGAUAAUAUAUAGGUAGUCCUCGACUUAGAAUUUGAUGUCAAGAAUUUGCAAUCCUCCUGUCGUAACAUGGAAAAUGGUUGGAAAUAAGAAAUGCCCAAAAGUUAGCAAUUGCCUACUAUCAAUACUUAUUAUUACAUUCUAUUUUAUCAUAAUAAAUUUAACAAAAACAAAAAUGCAGGAACUAUCAUAAAAAAGGAC